AGCCCUCCCCCCCCCCCCAAUUAAAUCAUAAACAUUAAUUCUUAUCACAGUAUCAGUGCUCCAUCUAUAGGCCUAACAAAGGGGUGUUGAUAGACUUUUGAUUGGCUGAGCCACCAUCUAUUUGAAAACAAGCGACUUUGAUUGGCUGGAGACAGGAAGUUAUGUUUUGAAAACAAAGGGGGUUUUCAUCAACUGACUUUGAGCUUUAAGGUAUAAUUGAGUAACAUUAAGACUUAUAAUUCUAGUUUAAAAUGUCUUGAAUAACUUUCAGCAUGAAGUAUUGUGUGGUGAAAACAAUGUGUAUGUACUACAAUGUGUAAAUCAACAAUAAGUUUGUUGCAAAGGAGAUUCAAAGUGGAUGGUUAAAGUGAUAUGGUCUCAUAAUUCAUCAACUGCCUGUUAUCUUGGAAUACUGAAGAACAGUUGUUUUAGGUUAAACUCCCAAGGUGAAAUUUACAUUGAUUGGAAGAUUCUUUGGAUAGAAUAUUCCUGCCAAAAGACAGCAGAAGGGGGACUAACUGAUGUAUGGAUUUUGACACCAGAUUUUACCCUGCACGAGCAGCCCAACUUGAGUAGAUCAGGAGUGGGAAAACUGAGCCCUGUCCUUGACCAAGGAAAGUUGGAUUUGUUGAGAGGACCUGAUCUCAAAUGAGAUCAUGCACAAGACGCACCUCGCAAAGGCCAUG
Molecule: long non-coding RNA, 686 nt
Organism: Dreissena polymorpha
Lineage: Eukaryota; Metazoa; Mollusca; Bivalvia; Myida; Dreissenidae
Exons: 3
Source: RefSeq, a predicted model, not a curated record